CCCAAUGGGAGUGAGAGCCGGGGCCGCGUCAGCAGUAUCCGGGAAGAAGGAGCUGACGCGGGCUGGGACCGGGAGAAGUGAACCUCGGGACACGGGGAGGCCCCAGCGCCGAGCUUCCCCGCCCCGGACCCCGCCCUCGGACGGACCCUGCGAGCCACGCCCGGGCCCUGCGACAGUGCCCUGACCCCUCGUCCUGCAGAGGGCUCUUUGUCACACUGUCUCCCUAAGCCGUCUGAGGAAGCCAGGCUGGCCCAGCCCCUGCCUUCACUUCCCGCCCUGGAAUCCCGCUCCCUGGACUGGACUCCCUGCCUCCCACUCCUUUCCUCUCCCCCGACUCUUCUAGAAGAACUCACCCCAGGGAACUUGAUGCCGGGUGCGCUCGCCCCGGGACAGGAGGUGUGGAGACGGGGCUUCUCUGUAAACCUGCAGACGCCCCGAGUCUGUGCGUGAGUCCAGGACGUCGCCUCAUACCCAGAAGCACAAUUCGUUCCUGUCUAUUUCAACCAGGAGUUCUAGGACUUUAAUCCCUUCAACGCCGCACGUGCUCAGUCAGACUGUCCCUGACCCGCGCUCCGCCUUGCCCGUUUGUAUGAAUUAUUCACAUCUGAGCUGUGUGUAUAUUUUGGGGGGACACUUGGUAUUUUUUUUAACCCGAUUAACUUUUAGGAGGCAAUUAGUUUUUAGGCAGCCUCACAAAUAUAUUAAUUACCAAAUGCAAAGAACACCCUGCUAGGCUUGUGAAUAUGCAUAUUAAAAAUCUAUAAAAUGCUGA
This is a long non-coding RNA of Microcebus murinus (gray mouse lemur), 772 nucleotides long. RefSeq lists it as uncharacterized. The record is from RefSeq and is a predicted model, not a curated record. Lineage: Eukaryota; Metazoa; Chordata; Mammalia; Primates; Cheirogaleidae.